ACGUAUGACAGGAGUGGGGAUAAAUAAAUAGAAUCUGUAUUGUAGCUAGUAUAAAACGCGCCGAUCAACUUGCUGAAAGGUUUAGUCAAGGUUGAGAGCUCUCUGUUCCCAUUUGUUCCCAAGCAACAUGAUCGGAUUAAAGACAAAGAAGCUUCUAAUAUUUGGGGUGAGCAUCGCUAUAAUUCUAGCUAUGGUCCUAACGAUAAUAAUCGUAUUAUUCGUUAAUAAUUCAGAAACGAUCUCUAAUGGAAGCUCGUACUUUGGAAGAUACAAAAAGGCUGCAGUGUCCACACACGGGCAAGAAUGCGCCGAGAUAGGUGUCGGCAUGUUAAAUAAAGGUGGAUCGGCAGUCGAUGCGGCUAUUGCUGCGCUCUUAUGCGAGGGAGUUGCGUCUUUGCAUAGUAUGGGAUUGGGCGGUGGAUUUUUAAUGACCAUUUGGGACGCAUCUAACAAAACUGCCGUUUAUUUGGAUGCGAGGGAGGUAGCUCCAUCUGACGCGAAUGAGACCAUGUUUCAUGGGGAUCCUCAAUUAGCGAUGUUUGGCGGCUUAGCCGUUGCAGUACCGGGCGAGCUUCUUGGUUAUUGGGAAGCCCAUAAAAAAUAUGGGAAAUUGAAAUGGUUCGAUCUAUUCGAGCCAAUUAUUUCUCUGUGCACCACCGGAUCAAUCGUGACUAAAUAUUUGGAAUCAUAUCUGAGCAGUAAAGAAUCGUCGAUAAGGGCGGAAAAAUCGUUGGCCGAAAUCCUUAUAAAUCCCACUACCAAUUCGUUGUGGAAGGUAGGCGAUAGAAUAAAAAGACCACGUUUGGCAGAAACGUUGAAAUUGAUCGCGUUCAAUGGGCCCGAUGUAUUUUACAAUGGCAGUAUGACCGAUAAUUUAGUGAAAGAGAUCGGUGCUUUCAAAGGUAUCAUAAAGAAGGAGGAUUUCGUAAAUUAUAAAGUAAAAUGGAGGAAACCGAUUAAAUCAACGGUAGGGGAUUUAACUAUCUAUACCGCACCGCCACCUGGUUCAGGAGCGCUCGUAACUUUUAUUAUGAAUGUUCUCUACGGUAUAAUUCCAAACCAGGACAACAGAAUUACAUGGCAAAACAUAAUCGAGACGUUUAAAUGGACUUAUGCUAAAAGAACGAAAUUAGCUGAUCCUGAUUUCGUCAAUAUCAGCGAAGUACUUAAUAAUUUGACAUCUGUCGAUUAUGCAAAUAUGAUUCGAAAGAAAAUUAAGAUAAACGAGACGAGUAACGAUCCCACUUAUUAUGGUGCUAUUACUGUUCCACCAGACGAUUCAGGAACGUCUCACAUCUCUGUCUUGGCUCCCGAUGGAUCUGCCGUAUCCGUCACAUCAACGAUAAAUCAAGUUUUUGGAGCAAUGAUACGUUCAGAAUCGACUGGCAUAAUAUUUAACGAUGAAAUGGAUGAUUUUAGUUCCCCAAAUAUAACUAAUGCAUUCGGUGUACCACCUUCGCCAGCAAAUUUUAUUAAGCCUGGAAAAAGACCUUUGAGUUCUAUGAGCCCGACAAUUGUUGUAAGCAUAUACUUUCCAAAUGAAGAGAUAAUAUUAUAUAGGUAGAUAAAGAUGAACAUGUCCGUUUAGUAAUUGGUGCUGCAGGUGGAACUAAAAUCAUCACCUCAAUUGCAACAGCAAUGAUAUUAAAUCUUUGGUCAGGAUAUGAUAUAAGACAAGCUGUUGAUGUACCUAGAAUUCAUCAUCAACUAUUACCAAUGAUUGUUCAACAUGAACAAGGAUUUUCUACAGACAUAUUAAAUUAUUUAUCGAAUAUUGGACAUAAUAUUACAGCUUAUACGGGAAUUGGUAGUGCAAUUACGGCUAUAUCUAAACAGAAUGGAGAAAUAUUUGCUACUUCGGAUUUUCGAAGAGAAGGAAGAACUGCUGGUUUUUAAGUUUUUUAUCCAUGAACAAAAUAGUAAAUAAAAUGACUCAGCGCAGAUAGAUAAGAAAUAAUGUUGCGAUAUACACAAGCAAUACGACAUUGUUGUGAUCAAAAAUUGAUUUACGUUUCU
RNAcentral lists this unclassified non-coding RNA (2016 nucleotides) under Apis florea (little honeybee). Its description in RNAcentral is "glutathione hydrolase 1 proenzyme, transcript variant X5". The record is from RNAcentral. Lineage: Eukaryota; Metazoa; Arthropoda; Insecta; Hymenoptera; Apidae.